AAAACAACGUCAGUCUAGGUUAGUUCCAUUCAAAUCAUGCAAAUUAGAGUCCAAAACAAGGGCAAAAGAAUUUGGAAAAGUAGAUACGACGGGGACGUAUCAACUCCCCCAAGCUUAAAACCUUGCUUGUCCUCAAGCAACUCAGUUGACAAACUGAGAGAGAAAGAAAAACUUUGAAAAACUCUGUUUGAUCUUGUUGUUGCAACUAUGUCUAACUCAUAACGAGAAUUUCAGCAAGAUCACAAGUUAACCACAUAAGCAAAUGACACAAAGGUCUCACGGUAAACUAAUAUCAAUGGCAUAAUCAGCUAACGAGGAAAUAAUAAUGAGUUUCAAAUACCAACACUUCUAUCAAAAUGAGCAUGAAGCAAUAUGAAUAGGUGGUAUCUCGCUAGCUCUUUUUGAGACCGCAAAACAUAAAUGCAGAGGAGUUUCAAAGAUCAAGGGCUGACUAAGCAUUGUAAUUCAUAGCAACGAAGAUCCAGUCAUAGGCAUACUCAAUUUCAAUCAAAAGAAAAGCAUAAAAAUGACAGAGGUGCUCUCUAAUUGGUGCUUAUAUAAGAGGAGGAUGACUCGACAGGAAAAUAAAUAGACAUGCCCUUCGCAGUGGGAAGCAUUGAUUUGUAGAGGUGCCAGAGCUCAAGCUUUUGAAAACAGAGAUAAUAAUUUUGGGUGGCAUGGUUUCAUUGUCAACGCAAUGACCAAGAGUUGUCAAUAUCUUCCAUGCUACUCAUGCUAUAGGCAGUUCCCAAACAGAAAAGUAAAGUUUUAACUCCCCCACCACCAAUCAAUCACACUCCACGGCUAGCC
This 810-nucleotide long non-coding RNA is filed under the name Hordeum vulgare. RNAcentral's name for it is "long non-coding RNA (HVUL_LNC011996)". The record is from RNAcentral. Lineage: Eukaryota; Viridiplantae; Streptophyta; Magnoliopsida; Poales; Poaceae.